CUCCUACGGGAGGCAGCAGUGGGGAAUUUUGCGCAAUGGGGGAAACCCUGACGCAGCAACGCCGCGUGAGUGAUGAAGGCUUUCGGGUCGUAAAGCUCUGUCAGAGGGGAAGAAAUGGGUCUGGCUAAUAUCCAGAUUCCUUGACGGUACCCUCAAAGGAAGCACCGGCUAACUCCGUGCCAGCAGCCGCGGUAAUACGGAGGGUGCAAGCGUUGUUCGGAUUUAUUGGGCGUAAAGCGCGUGUAGGCGGUUUCUUAAGUCUGAUGUGAAAGCCCUGGGCUCAACCCAGGAAGUGCAUUGGAUACUGGGAGACUUGAAUACGGGAGAGGGUAGUGGAAUUCCUAGUGUAGGAGUGAAAUCCGUAGAUAUUAGGAGGAACACCGGUGGCGAAGGCGGCUACCUGGACCGAUAUUGACGCUGAGACGCGAAAGCGUGGGGAGCAAACAGGAUAGAUACCCUGGUAGUCCMCGCCGUAAACGAUGAGAACUAGGUGUUGCGGGUAUUGACCCCUGCAGUGCCGCAGCUAACGCAUUAAGUUCUCCGCCUGGGAAGUACGGUCGCAAGACUAAAACUUAAAGGAAUUGACG
Molecule: ribosomal RNA, 587 nt
Filed under: uncultured Geobacteraceae bacterium
Lineage: Bacteria; Pseudomonadati; Thermodesulfobacteriota; Desulfuromonadia; Geobacterales; Geobacteraceae
Description: bacterial SSU rRNA
Rfam family: Bacterial small subunit ribosomal RNA
Source: RNAcentral